This 490-nucleotide ribosomal RNA is filed under the name uncultured bacterium. Its description in RNAcentral is "partial 16S ribosomal RNA". It matches the Rfam family "Bacterial small subunit ribosomal RNA", at positions 29 to 523 of the family's 1533-position model. The record is from RNAcentral.
AAUGAACGUUGGCGGCAUGGAUUAGGCAUGCAAGUCGAGCGAGAAGAGUUUUGAAGCUUGCUUUAGAACUCGGACAGCGGCGAAAGGGAGAGUAACGCGUAGUUAUGUGCCCUAGGGUCCGGAAUAGCCACGGGAAACUGUGGGUAAUGCCGGAUAAUAUCCCCGGAUCAAAGGUGUGAUUCCGCCCUAGGAGCAGACUGCGUCCUACUAGCUAGUUGGUGGGGUAAUGGCCUACCAAGGCAACGAUGGGUAGCGGGUGUGAGAGCAUGACCCGUCUCCCUGGGACUGAGACACUGCCCAGACACCUACGGGUGGCUGCAGUCGAGAAUCUUCGGCAAUGGGCGAAAGCCUGACCGAGCGAUGCCGCGUGCGGGAUGAAGGCCCUCGGGUUGUAAACCGCUGUCGUAGGGGAGGAAGGUUCCGUGAAGAGCGGAAUUUGACCUAUCCUAGGAGGAAGUACGGGCUAAGUUCGUGCCAGCAGCCGCCGUAA